AUCCAGUUGAUGAGUCCCAGAUAGGAUGAAAUUACCGUUGUCCUGGAU
RNAcentral lists this non-coding RNA (48 nucleotides) under Trichobilharzia regenti. Lineage: Eukaryota; Metazoa; Platyhelminthes; Trematoda; Strigeidida; Schistosomatidae. The record is from RNAcentral.